GCCACCGGGGAAGGUAGGCCCUGCUACUCAGGUCCACUCAGGAUGAGGCAGUGGCCCAGCUCACGCACUUGCUGUCUACCUUGUUGAACAACACCAGGCCCGUGUCAACUCCAGGCCCCACGGGGCUUCCCCCCUCGGGCUCCCUGACUCUGGGCCCGGCUGUGAGCAGCACCCUGGGAAGCAGGCCAGUUCUUCUGCAGAUCACCCAUGGCAUCAGCCGGGAGGCUUGGGGGCAGCGGGACACCAGCCAGGUCCCAGGAAGAGGUGCUAAACACUCCAGAAGGAUGGGAACUGUGUCUGACUUGUUCUCUCCACCACCUGGAAGUGCCGAGCCCAACCAAGCACUCAACACCGAUCGGUUGGACAAAUGAAAAAUAAAUGCACGUGUGUUGGUUUGGCACAGGGGCCUGUCACGGACAAAGCGCCUCGGGCGACAGGACGCUUGGAGGCUCCGCCAGAAAAGGUUUGCCAACCCCUGGGCCAGGACAUAGUACAGAGCUUGCCUCAUGGCUGCCUUCUUGAAGGAGAGGAAGCUGUGAUUGCCUGCUGCUUUUGGCGCUUUUGCUUCUAGAAUCCACUCUGCACCUGUUCAUUCUGCUUCUAAAUCCUCUACGGGCUGAACAAACAAUAAGAGGCACCAUCAAGACUACUGGUAAAGUAAGAGAAAGGAGCUCCAAGCAAGGUUCUGGUACAUCUUCCUGUGGAUAACGUGCGUUUUGUCUUUGUGGUCCUGAUUAUUUUAGCCGUUGAGUUUUGACUAUGUUCGGGGAAGAUGGGCUGCCUCAGAGCUGAGUUCUAGAUCCAAGACCGCUAUUCUACACUGGCCACUCUUUGUAAUACAGUGGCAGGACCCAAGCCAGGAGAAUGUUGCAGGGCAGGGAGACAGCAGAGCAACCUGAAUACCUACCAUGGAACACGCAGCUGGUGGCCAGAACAGAACAGGAUCCCCAGGCAGGGGACCUGCCUCGAAAUGCUGAAAAUGCAAUAGCAAGCCCAGUUUCAGGAGAGAUUUAACUGGAAAAGGGACAGAGCAAUCAACAGGAGGAACAAUUGUAAGGCGGAGGCCAAGAGAGAGCCUGGAGCUCUGUGUGUGCGUGUGCGUGUGUGUGUGGUGUGCACAACUACACAAGCACGUAUGUGCACACAGGAAAGGUGCCUUUGGAGGAGCACAUGGGCACAUAGGGGGAGGUCUGUGUGCAUGUAAGAGAGGCAGAAAGAGACUUGGCCCAGCCUGCCUGGAGGAAGGGCACGCCGAUAAACCCAAGGCGUCGAGCCGCAGUGCUGGCGUUUCCUGAAUCCCCAAUCAGGAGCCGUGGCCCUCUCUGUGGUCUGACAUGUGGCUUUCUCCCCGGUCUGUCUUGCGAUCCUACUCACGAUCUGAUACAUAAUCGGACCCCCGGACCGGCCUGUGGUCUGACUUGUGGUCUGCCGCCGCGGCCUGUCACACCUGCACCACGACAUCGACUGUCCAAAAUCGGGCCUGCCGCGGGACACACGGGUGGCGGGGCUGGGAGGCGCAGUCCUCCCGCAGCCCGUCCAGGCCCCCUUUCGGGAGAGAGGCAUCGACGGCCCCCGUGAGUUAUGACUUUUAUUAUGCAGAAAACAGGCACAUUAACUUCAGGUCCUUUGAAAAAUGUGGUCCUGUAAUCAGAGGCUGUGUCUGUCCUGAUGCACAGUGGCACCGGGCCAGAGGAGUGCAGGCAUGAAAUAAACAUUUGGAAAGACAACUGCAUUUGCAGAUCUAAGAAUUGAGUUAUAUUCAUUUCUGACAGCUUCCUGAAUCACAGCCCACGUCUCCGCCCGGCAAAACUGGGACCUGGCCCUUUAACUAGACUCCAUUUCACAUAAUUAAAGACUCACAAAAUUAAAUGGCCUGCAUGGAAAGUGGCUUUCAGUGGACUAAAUGCCGGGAGCAAUCUCCUCGCCAGAGUGGAAAAGUGACACUAGCUUGCAGAUCAAUAUCAUCUCUGUUAUUAAUAUCAAAAGCACAUUACUUUGUUUUUGCCUGGCUCCCCUCCAAGCCUCCGGCCCUGCCGCGGAGCAGCCAUUUGCUCGGGCCAUAAUUUACUUUGGUGAGUUUUUAAGGUAUUGUUUUGUCAGGACCAAUCACCGUGACGUUAUAAAUGGCUGGGAGGACUUGCGCUCCCCCUCAGUGGCAUAUGCAGCGAAAUUAAUUUUUAAAAGUUUCACGUCAAUUACUCCUGUCCUUGAGUUAUGCAAGGGGACAAAGGAGCAGAGACGUAAGGACGUGAGUGAUCUCAAGCAGAUGAGGUAACGACACACAGAAGCCGGGGCUGCAGACCAGAGCAGACA
Molecule: long non-coding RNA, 2313 nt
Organism: Canis lupus familiaris (dog)
Lineage: Eukaryota; Metazoa; Chordata; Mammalia; Carnivora; Canidae
Exons: 4
Source: RefSeq, a predicted model, not a curated record